UACGUAGGGUGCAAGCGUUGUCCGGAAUUAUUGGGCGUAAAGAGCUCGUAGGCGGUCUGUCGCGUCUGCUGUGAAAUCUCAGGGCUAAACCCUGAGCUUGCAGUGGGUACGGGCAGACUAGAGUGCGGUAGGGGAGACUGGAAUUCCUGGUGUAGCGGUGAAAUGCGCAGAUAUCAGGAGGAACACCGGUGGCGAAGGCGGGUCUCUGGGACGGUACUGACGCUGAGACGCGAAAGCGUGGGGAGCGAACAGG
RNAcentral lists this ribosomal RNA (253 nucleotides) under uncultured bacterium. RNAcentral's name for it is "partial 16S ribosomal RNA". It matches the Rfam family "Bacterial small subunit ribosomal RNA", at positions 524 to 776 of the family's 1533-position model. The record is from RNAcentral.